AUCUUUUAAGCCCAUUGUGGAUUAAAAAAAAAAAUUAAGAGGACCCUGUGGGUGGGAGGUAGAAGCAGAGUGGGUCCCCCUCAUCUGACUACUUUUACAUUGGCUGGGAGGUGUUAAGGGAAACAAUAGCUGUGUUGUUGUGCCGCUCCCCCCAUCCUUCUGCCUCAGGUUGGAAAGGGCUGUGUUGGGGUGGGGUGGUGGUAAGGGGGAACUGGUGGAGGUGACACUGAUCUCUUCUGGUCCAUGCAUCGGAAGGGAGGAGAAAGGGGUUUCAAUGAGGCAGAGUGGGAUGGGCUUUUAUUUUUUAAGGGGGGAGGUCUUCAGGCAAUGGCAGCACCCCCUUUUUGCUGUCUACCAAGGAGAGCUGCAAGAGAAAGAAAGAGAGGGGAGCGAAAUUCCUGAAUGGAUAGACAGAUGCUACGUCAUCAGGGCUGCAGCCUCUACUCCACAAGAGGCUAGGAGCUGGGGGGGAGAGAAGCAGACCAGCCGUGGGGGCCUGAGAGACAGACACCUCCUCUUCACAGGAACUGGGCUUCGGACACCCCCCUGCGACCCCCCAGCCUCCGAAUUACAUGCCCGGUGUUGGGGGUGGGGCAUAGAGAAGGAGGGUUGGAGAACCCGACGCUGCAGAAGAGAAGCCAUCGACAGGAGAGGGAGCACAGACUUCCUAUUUGAUUUGGUCUUGGCAUUCCUCUUCCUUCUCUUCAUUCUGCAGCACAACUCAGCACGUUUGAUAUUGGUAUUCAGCACAUUGGACAGCGCCAGGAUGAACAAUAAGAGGACUUAAAGGACAAGGGGCCAAUAGCAUACAGAGGGAGAAGCCUUAACACAAUUGGCCUCCAUGUACCUGAAGCAGCCUUCCAGGAUUGACUGGAGGACAGAUAACGCCAGCUACUAAUCCCAGGGAGAGAGAAAGUGAAGAGAUCUUCCUGUCACCCUCUCCACUGAUAUCCACCCUCCUCCAGGAAGUUUGUCAGGAUUCAUAGAGCAUCAGCCCUUGAAUUGCCUGGUUCCUGUCCGGGAUAAAAGUAUUUGACCUUCAUGUAUACUUAUUGUGUAUCUAAGUUAUAUUUUAAUAUAUUUAACAUCUACUGGUCAUCCUGCCAUCUAGGGGAGGGGGGGGGUAAGAGGUGAAAAAUUGGAACAAGAGGUUUGGCAAUUGUUAAUCCUGUAAAGUUACCCAUGUAUAUAUCCUGUAAAUAAAAGGCUAUUAAAUUUAAAAAAAAAAAAAGUAUUUGACCUUAACACAUCUCAUCUCUGUGUAUUUUUACUAGCCUGGGAGCCCCAUGGGGGCAGGACCUGAGUCUGUGUUGAAUAAAAGCUCUUAGAUCCUGAUGACUGAUGAAGUUUGUGUUUGGAUUAG
This 1363-nucleotide long non-coding RNA is filed under the name Sarcophilus harrisii (Tasmanian devil). Its description in RNAcentral is "lncRNA (ENSSHAG00000028218.1)". The record is from RNAcentral. Lineage: Eukaryota; Metazoa; Chordata; Mammalia; Dasyuromorphia; Dasyuridae.